RNAcentral lists this unclassified non-coding RNA (257 nucleotides) under uncultured Russula. Its description in RNAcentral is "sequence contains ITS2". The record is from RNAcentral. Lineage: Eukaryota; Fungi; Basidiomycota; Agaricomycetes; Russulales; Russulaceae.
AAUCCUCAAAACCCUUUUUCUUGUUAUCGGAAUCGGGGUUUUGGACUUGGAGGCUCAAUGCUUGCUUUUGCUUUCGAAAGCGAGCUCCUCUUAAACGAAUUAGUGGGGUCCGCUUUGUCGAUCCUUGACGUGAUAAGAUGUUUCUACGUUUUGGAUUUGGCACCGUAUUCUCCGCUCCUAACCGUCCGUCCCAUGGACAACGAUGGUGCUUCGGUCCCUGCCGUCUACUUUGGCGGGAGGCUUGGCCCACAAAACGA